RNAcentral lists this ribosomal RNA (459 nucleotides) under uncultured bacterium. RNAcentral's name for it is "partial 16S ribosomal RNA". It matches the Rfam family "Bacterial small subunit ribosomal RNA", at positions 338 to 795 of the family's 1533-position model. The record is from RNAcentral.
CCUACGGGAGGCAGCAGUGAGGAAUAUUGGUCAAUGGUCGGGAGACUGAACCAGCCAAGCCGCGUGAGGGAGGAAGGUACAGAGUAUCGUAAACCUCUUUUGUCAGGGAACAAAGGCGGGGACGUGUCCCCGGAUGAGUGUACCUGAAGAAAAAGCAUCGGCUAACUCCGUGCCAGCAGCCGCGGUAAUACGGAGGAUGCGAGCGUUAUCCGGAUUUGUUGGGUUUAAAGGGUGCGCAGGCGGUCUGUUAAGUCAGCGGUCAAAGCCCGGGGCCAAACCCCGCCCCGCCGUUGAAACUGGCAGUCUCGAGUUGGAGAGAGGUAUGCGGAAUGCGCGGUGUAGCGGUGAAAUGCAUAGAUAUCGCGCAGAACUCCGAUUGCGAAGGCAGCAUGCCGGCUCCACACUGACGCUGAGGCACGAAAGCGUGGGUAUCGAACAGGAUUAGAUACCCCUGUAGUC